RNAcentral lists this ribosomal RNA (210 nucleotides) under Pheidole jeannei. RNAcentral describes it as "partial large subunit ribosomal RNA". The record is from RNAcentral. Lineage: Eukaryota; Metazoa; Arthropoda; Insecta; Hymenoptera; Formicidae.
GAAUUUUAUAUAAAUUUGUAGAAAAUUUAGUUGAAUAAUUAAUAAGUUUAUAUUUUAUUGGGAGGAUAGUUAAAUUAGAUGAACUUUAAUGGUUUUAGACAUUCAUUUAUGAGUAGGUGUUUGAAUGGUUAAUAAAUUUGAAGAGAAUUAAUUACCUUAGGGAUAACAGCGUGAUAUCUUUAGAGAGAUCUUAUUAAUAAAGAUGAUUGC